Callithrix jacchus (white-tufted-ear marmoset) is the source of this 94-nucleotide non-coding RNA. The record is from Rfam. NCBI's taxonomy places the organism in Eukaryota, Metazoa, Chordata, Mammalia, Primates, Cebidae.
AUGCUCACUUCAGCAGCACAUAUACUAAAAUUGGAAUAGUACAGAGAAGAUUAGUAUGGAUGACAUGCAAAUUUUUGAAGUGUUUCAUAUUUUU